GAGUGGCACAAUGUGUCCCUGCAAAGCACCAACCCAAAGCCCUGUGGUGUUAAUGGAUGUGUGAUGUAUUAACAGUAUUAAAUUGUUACAGAAUUAACUUUUAACUGUGUUUAAGCAGCAGACGUCAAAGAGAAUGCAUCACUGCUGGGGAACCUGGAGCAAGGCAUGAUUUGUGGAGCCCAGGUACACCACAGCAUCUGGUCAGGCAGGAUGUCUCACUGGGGGCUGAGCCAAACAGCCAAGAACACCAUCACCAAUGCCAUCCACAUGGGCACCUCUCAAACAUGGACCUUGGGUUCAGUCCCACAGGGAAGCCCUCCACAGAACACCCUCCAAGAGCAGAGCUGAGGUUUUGGUUUUCCCCGGGACUAUAUCAACCUGCUACUCGCAGAUGCGGACGCUGCACUU
This 408-nucleotide long non-coding RNA is filed under the name Ficedula albicollis (Collared flycatcher). RNAcentral describes it as "lncRNA (ENSFALG00000026982.1)". The record is from RNAcentral. Lineage: Eukaryota; Metazoa; Chordata; Aves; Passeriformes; Muscicapidae.